Molecule: non-coding RNA, 988 nt
Organism: Chlorocebus sabaeus (green monkey)
Lineage: Eukaryota; Metazoa; Chordata; Mammalia; Primates; Cercopithecidae
Source: RefSeq, a predicted model, not a curated record
ACGCACUGUUCUGGGAGCCGGGGAUCACAGCUGAGAAAAGAACAGACAAAAGUCCUUGCCCCUAUGGAGUUCAUUUUGACAAGAGAGACAGACAAUAAAUGAGGCAAACAAAUAAAAUAUGUAUUGUGUUGGGAAGUAAAGAGGCCAAGGAGAAGGAAAAAAAAUGGUAAGGGGCUAGAGAGUUCUGUGGUGAGGGCCCAGUGUUCACUAGGGUGACCUGGGAAGGCUUCCCUGAGAGGAAGUCAUCUGAGUAGAUCCUAAAGGAGGAGCCCUGGGGAUGUUCCAGGCAGAGAAACGGCCAGUGCAAGGGCGCCGAGAGGGGAGCACGUCUCAGGAAAGAAAACUGGCUCAGAGAGGCUGAGUCACCUGCUCAAGAUGACACAGCUUGUGGGUGGCUGAGUUGGCCUUCCAACCCAGAUUCCUGUCAUGUUCCUCAAGCCGACAGGUUCAGCUUGGUUGUGACCUCUGCUGGAAGCCCUCCCUGGCCCCCUGUGCACUGAGCUGGCGGUUCCUCCUCUGUGCCCCAGGAGCUGUGAUGUAAGAAGUCUGCAUACCCUCUUGGAGAAAUCCACAUGGAGAGGAGAUGUGGAAAAGCCACAUGGAGAAGGAGGGGCCCAUAGAGGACAGAAAGAGAGAAGGAAUCCCAGCAAUGCACUAGUCCCAGCCGAGCCCAGCCCUUCGGGUCCUUUCCAGGGUGCCCGACAUAUAAGGCCACCAUCUUGACUCAGCCAGCCCAGUCUAGCUCCCAGAUGACUUCAGUUCCAGCUGCCAUCUGGCUGCAGCAGCAUAAAAGUCCCUCAGUGAGAUCAGUGGAAGAACUGCCCAGCCAACUUAUAAAGUUGUGAGAGAUAAUAAAUGUUUGUUGUCCAUUUUAAGCCACUGCAUUUUAGAGUGGUUUGAUACAUACAGGUAGAUAACCAAAAAGUAAGUGCCUAGGACAGCGCCUGCCAUACAGCAGGCAUUCAAUAAAUAUUGACUGACUAAAUGA